This 429-nucleotide ribosomal RNA is filed under the name Bacteroidota bacterium. RNAcentral describes it as "Bacteroidetes bacterium partial 16S ribosomal RNA". It matches the Rfam family "Bacterial small subunit ribosomal RNA", at positions 355 to 776 of the family's 1533-position model. The record is from RNAcentral. Lineage: Bacteria; Pseudomonadati; Bacteroidota.
UAGGGAAUCUUCGGCAAUGGGGGGAACCCUGACCGAGCAACGCCGCGUGAGUGAAGAAGGUUUUCGGAUCGUAAAGCUCUGUUGUUAAGGAAGAACGAGUGUGAGAAUGGAAAGUUCAUACUGUGACGGUACUUAACCAGAAAGGGACGGCUAACUACGUGCCAGCAGCCGCGGUAAUACGUAGGUCCCGAGCGUUGUCCGGAUUUAUUGGGGGUAAAGCGAGCGCAGGCGGUUAGAUAAGUCUGAAGUUAAAGGCAGUGGCUCAACCAUUGUAGGCUUUGGAAACUGUUUAACUUGAGUGCAGAAGGGGAGAGUGGAAUUCCAUGUGUAGCGGUGAAAUGCGUAGAUAUAUGGAGGAACACCGGUGGCGAAAGCGGCUCUCGGGUCUGUAACUGACGCUGAGGCUCGAAAGCGUGGGGAGCGAACAGG